AAGAAUUUAUAGGGGCGCUUAUUGUUCCAUUAUACACAUUGGGAUAAUAGGCUGAGAAGACACCCUUAGAACCUGAUCCGGAUAAUACCGGCGGAGGGAAAAUAGCGAUCUCGCAU
Molecule: non-coding RNA, 116 nt
Filed under: Candidatus Cloacimonadota
Lineage: Bacteria; Pseudomonadati
Description: Candidatus Cloacimonetes TPP sequence
Rfam family: TPP riboswitch aptamer (THI element)
About the family: Vitamin B(1) in its active form thiamin pyrophosphate (TPP) is an essential coenzyme that is synthesised by coupling of pyrimidine and thiazole moieties in bacteria.
Source: RNAcentral